CCUACGGGCGGCAGCAGUGAGGAAUAUUGGUCAAUGGACGAGAGUCUGAACCAGCCAAGUAGCGUGAAGGAUGACUGCCCUAUGGGUUGUAAACUUCUUUUAUAUGGGAAUAAAAUGUUCCACGUGUGGGAUUUUGUAUGUACCAUAUGAUUCAGGAUCGGCUAACUCCGUGCCAGCAGCCGCGGUAAUACGGAGGAUCCGAGCGUUAUCCGGAUUUAUUGUGUUUAUCGGGAGCGUAGGUGGAUUGUUAAGUCAGUUGUGAAAGUUUGCGGCUCAACCGUAAAAUUGCAGUUGAAACGGGCAGUCUUGAGUACAGUAGAGGUGGGCGGAAUGCGUGGUGUAGCGGUGAAAUGCUUAGAUAUCACGAAGAACUCCGAGUGCGAAGGCAGUUCACUGGACUGCAACUGACACUGAGGCUCGAAAGUGUGGGUAUCAAACAGGAUUAGAUACCCUUGUAGUC
Molecule: ribosomal RNA, 460 nt
Filed under: uncultured bacterium
Lineage: Bacteria
Description: partial 16S ribosomal RNA
Rfam family: Bacterial small subunit ribosomal RNA
Source: RNAcentral